ACUAUGGGCGCUAACUACCCCGAUUCAAAACGUAUAAGCAUCUAAGUUUAUAUCUUUUGAUUUGGGGUGGUGUAAGCUAACGCGUUAAGCGCCCCGCCUGGGGAGUACGGCCGCAAGGCUAAAACUCAAAGGAAUUGACGGGGACCCGCACAACCAGUGGAGCGUNNNGUUCAAUUCGAGACGAAGCGAAAAACCUCACCAAGGCUUGACAUCCCGCCGUUUUAUUCUGAUGGAAACAUCGGAAGAUCCGUAAGGAAGGCGGGACAGGUGCUGCAUGGCUGUCGUCAGCUCGUGCCGUGAGGUGUUCCAUUAAGUUGGGAAACGAGUGCAACCCCUAUCCAAUGUUAAAUAUUCAUUGGAGACGGUCCCGAUUCAAUCGGGAAGGAAGGAGGGGCGGACGUCAAGUCAGCAUGGCCCUUAUGCCUUGGGCUACACACACCCUACAAUGGCGAAAAACAACGAGUCGCAAGCCGGCAACGGCAAGCCAAUCUCUGAAAUUUCGCCUCAGUUCAGAUUGGGGUCUGAAAUUCGACCCCAUGAAGUCGGAAUUGGUAGUAAUCGCGAAUCAGCAUGUCGCGGUGAAUACGUUCUCGGGUCUUGUACACACCGCCCGUCAAGGCAGCAAAGUCGGUAACUAUUGAAUCCCGAUUUAAUCGGGAGAGAUAGAGAUCGG
RNAcentral lists this ribosomal RNA (673 nucleotides) under uncultured bacterium. RNAcentral's name for it is "bacterial SSU rRNA". It matches the Rfam family "Bacterial small subunit ribosomal RNA", at positions 801 to 1471 of the family's 1533-position model. The record is from RNAcentral.